UUUAGCUGGCAAUUAAUAAUAAUAAAAAAAAUUGCAAACAUAUUACGUAUACAAAAAAGUGAUUAUAAUACGCGCAAUAAAACAAAACGCAGAGUGGAAUGAUUAUUAAAAAAUUUACCAUCAAAUAUCAAGACACACUUUAGUUUCGAAUAAAAAAAUAAAAAACCGUCAAAUAUCGAAAUGGAUAAUAACAUAAAAAAACUGCUAAAAUUCAAUAGCAAAAAGAUAUAGAAUAAAAUGUAGAGCUCAAUUGUAUUUUUCAAAAGAGUUACCUAUCAUUAUUGUAAGUCGUAGCUCAUUUCUGUGAAAUGCAAAUCUGAUUUAAUCAUACGCGUUUAAGAUGGCAGUGAAAAUUAUAAGCAUAUUAUGUUUGAUGCUAUCCUACUUUUUGGCAAGUGUACUGGGUGAACUGAAAAUAACUAAAAAGCAGUUUGCUGAUUUUAAAGGGUCAAAUCCAACAAACUACUGUGGAGAUUGUGAACACGUGCAACGCGUGUGCAAUUUGGUCGGUAAACGUACAGGAAAAACUGAUGGGAACAAAAAAUUCAAACCCGGAUACCCAUCAUGCGUGAUGGGAUACAUUGUUGUACAGAAAGAUUGCGGCGAAGGAACAACUAUAAAAAGGGCCCCAGUAAUUACUUGUAUAUGGACUGAUGCAGAAGUACUGGUAAUCGGUAAGGGUCAAACUAAGAAACAUGUGAUGAUUUAUAAUGUUGACAAUGAUAAAAACUGUGUGCCUGAUAAGGAUGUAGUGUUUUUAACAGACAAUUGUACAACUGACGAUAAGAACUAGUUGAAAAUUGUUCGCUUAUAUAGUAAAUGAUUAUCUAAUUUUGCUAAACUUUAAUUUAUAAUUAAAUGUAAUUAGUUACCUAGGUACAUAGUAGGGUGCCUUUUUUUUUCAAUCCCACCCCUCAAAGUUAUUCCAUUUGGUGAGAAAAUCAUUCCUGAAUUUUCGUUUUUGCCCUUCGUGAAAAAAGUGGUGCCCGAUUGCCCCCCCCCCCCGUUUCCAAAAAAAAAUAAAAAAUGAUACAAAAUUUUAUUGUUUUUAUUCUACUUUAUCUCACCCAAUAUUCCCUUUUUGAACCAAAACGGCCCCCAAAAGUUUGUAUACCCUCCCCUACAAGAAAAUUCAAUGAAAACUGGGAGGGAAUUCAAAUUUACUAUCUCGGUAAGUACAUAUAUGUAUAGAAUUGUAAUACGUUGAGUCGUUGAUGCUUUUGUCUUGUAAUGAUUAUUUAAUUUUUAUGCUAAAAUUUAAAUAAAAUUUCAAAAAAUCUGAA
Molecule: long non-coding RNA, 1283 nt
Organism: Planococcus citri (citrus mealybug)
Lineage: Eukaryota; Metazoa; Arthropoda; Insecta; Hemiptera; Pseudococcidae
Exons: 2
Source: RefSeq, a predicted model, not a curated record